GACGAACGCUGGCGGCGUGCUUAACACAUGCAAGUCGAACGGAAAGGCCCUGCUUUUGUGGGGUGCUCGAGUGGCGAACGGGUGAGUAACACGUGAGUAACCUGCCCUUGACUUUGGGAUAACUUCAGGAAACUGCGGCUAAUACCGGAUAGGAGCUCCUGCUGCAUGGUGGGGGUUGGAAAGUUUCGGCGGUUGGGGAUGGACUCGCGGCUUAUCAGCUUGUUGGUGGGGUAGUGGCUUACCAAGGCUUUGACGGGUAGCCGGCCUGAGAGGGUGACCGGCCACAUUGGGACUGAGAUACGGCCCAGACUCCUACGGGAGGCAGCAGUGGGGAAUAUUGCACAAUGGGCGGAAGCCUGAUGCAGCAACGCCGCGAGCGGGAUGACGUCCUUCGGGUUGUAAACCGCUGUCGCCUGUGACGAAGCGGGAGUGACGGUAAUGGGUAAAGAAGCACCGGCUAACUACGUG
RNAcentral lists this ribosomal RNA (468 nucleotides) under uncultured bacterium. RNAcentral describes it as "partial 16S ribosomal RNA". It matches the Rfam family "Bacterial small subunit ribosomal RNA", at positions 28 to 507 of the family's 1533-position model. The record is from RNAcentral.